Molecule: ribosomal RNA, 872 nt
Filed under: Amphidinium operculatum
Lineage: Eukaryota; Dinophyceae; Amphidiniales; Amphidiniaceae
Description: partial large subunit ribosomal RNA
Rfam family: Eukaryotic large subunit ribosomal RNA
Source: RNAcentral
GAAUUUAAGCAUAUCAGUAGGUGGAGAAAAGGCAAUAAUGAUUACUUUCUGAGUACUUGCGGACGAAAUGAAGAGAGCACAUAAUCACAUGUGGCUGGUGCCCAAAUUGUAAUUUCAUGCGCUUGUCCGACAAAGCCUUGGCAUAAGCCCAUUGGAAAUGGGUGCCACAGCGGGUUAGAGUCCCACCAUGUGGCCUGUUGGGAUUUGUGCAAGGGGUGCUUUGGGUGAGUUGCACUUCUUUGGAGUGGGGUGUGAAUCUGGUGGUACGUGUCACCCAAUGCAAAGCUAUGCUGGGACUGAUAGUGAACAAGUACCAUGAGGGAAUGGUGAAAAGAACUUUGGAAAGAGAGGCAAGCAGCACAUGUGAUUUCAGUUGGCAAAGGGGGUUUGAUUGAUGUCUUGUUUUCUGACUGCACUGUUUGUACACCACCUUUGCAGUGAGAACUGCAUUGUGGGUCAAGCGGUGUGCUUCUGAUUUUGCGUGUGAGGGUUGUGCUUGUCAGGAUCAUGUGGUUGGUGAGGUCACGUCCUUGCGUUUGGCCCUGCUGACUGUCAGUACCUGACAUGUGCAAGUGUUGAAAUUGUGAGAACAUGAGGCUCCAGAACCUGUCAUUGAAACCUCGCCCGUCUUGAAACACGGAUCAAGGAGUCUGGUGUGUGUGCAAGUCAUUGUGUUGCAGACUGUAGGGCGAAGAGAGGUUGUUUGCUGGCACAUGCUGCCCCAGCGCCCAACAACGAGGAUGGAACCUUGAGCUUGAGCAUGUGCAUCUGGACCCGAAAGGUGGUGAACUAUGCUUGUGAGAAGGAAAGUCAGAGGAAACUCUGAUGGAAGCAUGCAGUGGUACUGACGUGCAAAUCGUUCACCUGACCUU